RNAcentral lists this ribosomal RNA (1134 nucleotides) under Triticum aestivum (bread wheat). RNAcentral's name for it is "partial small subunit ribosomal RNA". The record is from RNAcentral. Lineage: Eukaryota; Viridiplantae; Streptophyta; Magnoliopsida; Poales; Poaceae.
AUGCUCCGCCUCCACAAAUGGAUCCUCACCGAACUGCUCCUUCCUUCCACCUCCGCCUACGCCAUCUCCCCUCUCCACCGCCUCAUCUCCGCCGCCGCGCCCGCCGUCUCCCCCAACCCUAGUAGCUUCGCCGUGGAGGACUACCUCGUCUCCUCCUGCGGCCUCACCCGACCACAGGCCGCCAAGGCCUCCGCCAGGCUCUCCCACCUCAAAUCCCCCGCCAAGCCCGACGCCGUCCUCUCCUUCCUCGCCGGCCUCGGCCUCUCCGGCGCCGAUGUCGCCGCCCUCGUCGCCAAGGACCCGCAGCUCCUCUGCGCCGGUGUGGAGAAAACCCUGGCCCCCAACGUCGCGGGGCUCACUGGCCUUGGUCUCUCGCGUUCUGAGAUCGCACGCCUCGUCUCGCUCUCCCGUAACAGCUUCCGCUACAGAUCCAUCGUCUCCAAGCUGCAGUACUACAUGCCUCUCUUUGGGUCCUUUGAGAACCUCCUCCGGGCCCUCAAGAGGAACUUCUACCUUCUCUCGUCUGACCUCGACGGCAUCGUCAAGCCCAAUGUCGCUUAUCUGCAGGAGUGCGGGCUAGGUGCUUGUGAUAUUGCCAAGCUAUGCAUCAGUCGACCAGGUCUGCUCACCACCAAUCCAGAGCGUUUCCAGGGCAUGGUGGCACGCGCCGAAAACAUAGGUAUGCCCUGUAGUUCUGGGAUGUUCAGCCACGCGCUGCAUGCUGUUGCAUGUUUCAGCAAAGAGGAGAUCGCAGCCAGGGUGGACUACUUGAAGAACACGUUCAUGUGGACAGAUGCUGAGGUGGGCAUUGCUGUUUCUAAGGCUCCAUUGAUACUGACAAGGUCCAAGGAAUCGCUGCAGCGCAGGUCUGAGUUCCUCAUCUCCAAGGUGGGGUUAGAACCGGCAUAUAUUGCUUGUCGUCCGGCAAUGCUCAUGUAUAGCUUGGAGGGCCGGCUCAGACCCCGGUACUAUGUUGUCAAAUUUCUCAAGGAAAGUGGAUUGCUAGAUCAUGACCGGCACUACUUUGGUGCAGUCAUGAUCAGCGAGAAGGUAUUCGUCGAGAAGUUCAUAUGCCCUCAUAAGGAUGCUGCACCGCAUCUCGCUGAAGAUUAUGUAACAGCUUGCAGAGGGUGA